RNAcentral lists this ribosomal RNA (253 nucleotides) under uncultured bacterium. RNAcentral describes it as "partial 16S ribosomal RNA". It matches the Rfam family "Bacterial small subunit ribosomal RNA", at positions 524 to 776 of the family's 1533-position model. The record is from RNAcentral.
UACAGAGGGCUCAAGCGUUAAUCGGAAUCACUGGGCUUAAAGGGUCCGCAGGCGGACAAGCAAGUAUCUUGUGAAAUACCAUGGCUCAACCAUGGAAUUGCUCGGUAAACUGCUUGUCUUGAACACGGUAGGGGCCAUCGGAACUCUAGGUGGAGCGGUGAAAUGCGUAGAUAUCUAGAGGAACGCCAGAGGCGAAGGCGGAUGGCUGGGCCGUUGUUGACGCUCAGGGACGAAAGCGUGGGUAGCGAACGGG